Cryptomeria japonica (Japanese cedar) is the source of this 525-nucleotide long non-coding RNA. RefSeq lists it as uncharacterized. The record is from RefSeq and is a predicted model, not a curated record. NCBI's taxonomy places the organism in Eukaryota, Viridiplantae, Streptophyta, Pinopsida, Cupressales, Cupressaceae. The transcript has 3 exons.
CUUACUUUGGGUUCAAAGGUAUAAGUAAAUAGUGUAUUAUGUACACACCUUCAUAACACCUUCAUAUCUUCUAAGCAACACUUUGAAGUCCAGACUGAAGUUGGGGCGAGAGCUAUAUAGGUUAGCUAUUUAGCUAGGGCUUCAUUGGGGAGGAUCUGAACGUUGAAAUGUUUAAUGGACAUUCAAACACCUCAAGAUUUGAAGAGGCGCCUUGGGUCCAAACAUAAAUUAUGCUUGAUGAAUGUGGAGGUGGGUUUCUUUCAAAUUUCCCAUUUAUUUACCUAGUAAAUUUGUUGUGGAUACAUGUGGGCAUGCCCAUUGCAUAGUAAGUGGCAGUAAACAACAUCAAUUCAAGGCUAGGUGAGUUGUGGUGGGGUAUACUUGGAAUCCUGGUUAUUCAUUAAAAAAGCUCAAUUCUUGGACAUGUACGGUGCAUAUUGAUUAUAGAGAGUUUGAAAUGCAUUCCAAAAAGCUUGGGGUGGAUGCACAUUAUCUCGCACAAAAUAAUAUAUUUUGAGUACUUUA